This 253-nucleotide ribosomal RNA is filed under the name uncultured bacterium. RNAcentral's name for it is "partial 16S ribosomal RNA". It matches the Rfam family "Bacterial small subunit ribosomal RNA", at positions 524 to 776 of the family's 1533-position model. The record is from RNAcentral.
UACGGGGGGGGCAAGCGUUGUUCGGAAUUACUGGGCGUAAAGGGCUCGUAGGCGGCCAACUAAGUCGAACGUGAAAUCCCUCAGCUUAACUGGGGAACUGCGUCCGAUACUGGUUGGCUUGAAUCCGGAAGAGGGAUGCGGAAUUCCAGGUGUAGCGGUGAAAUGCGUAGAUAUCUGGAGGAACACCGGUGGCGAAGGCGGCAUCCUGGGUCGGUAUUGACGCUGAGGAGCGAAAGCCAGGGGAGCAAACGGG